AGGGAGUUUUCGGCAAUGGGGGAAACCCUGACCGAGCAACGCCGCGUGAGUGAUGAAGGUCUUCGGAUUGUAAAGCUCUGUUAUAAGGGAAGAACGGCAGCUAGAGGAAAUGCUAGCUGUUUGACGGUACUUUAUGAGAAAGCCACGGCUAACUACGUGCCAGCAGCCGCGGUAAUACGUAGGUGGCAAGCGUUAUCCGGAAUUAUUGGGCGUAAAGAGUGAGCAGGCGGCAGUUUAAGUUUGGAGUCAAAGCGAGGGGCUCAACCCCUUAACGCUCUGAAAACUGAACAGCUAGAGUGCGAGAGAGGUAAGUGGAAUUCCAUGUGUAGCGGUGAAAUGCGUAGAUAUAUGGAGGAACACCAGUGGCGAAGGCGACUUACUAGCUCGAUACUGACGCUCAGUCACGAAAGCGUGGGUAGCAAAUA
Molecule: ribosomal RNA, 425 nt
Filed under: uncultured bacterium
Lineage: Bacteria
Description: bacterial SSU rRNA
Rfam family: Bacterial small subunit ribosomal RNA
Source: RNAcentral